RNAcentral lists this long non-coding RNA (1203 nucleotides) under Salvator merianae (Argentine black and white tegu). RNAcentral's name for it is "lncRNA (ENSSMRG00000000477.1)". The record is from RNAcentral. Lineage: Eukaryota; Metazoa; Chordata; Lepidosauria; Squamata; Teiidae.
AUGAGGAAAGCAGGCGCUGCCGCCAAGCCUACCUACGCCCUCCUCGAGAGGCGGCUGCGCCUGAUCCUGCUGAAGCGAAGCCGCCUGCGCCGUGAGGGGAGCUUAGCUGCGGCGCUGGCGCAGAGCAUGGCGCUGGCGGUGAUCAGCACGGCGGGCGCCUACCCCAGCUGGGUGCUGGUGGAGAUGGGCGAGGAGCAGAUCGUGCUCGGGGCGGCCUGGGCCAUCACCCGGGUCUCCCCGCCCCCCAACGCGCCGCUGCUGGGCCCGGAGGGGGCUCCGAUCAUGCUGGCCAUCGCUUUCUGCUGUCUCUUCAGCGUGCUGACAGGCUCGCUGGCUCUAGCGCUGGAUUUCUUAGGGCGGCGCCGAUGUCGCAUGCUGGCGCCCGUGAUGCACGGCCUCACCGCGGUGCUCAUCGCUUGCACGGCAGCACUGGGUUCUUGCCUCCUGGCGCUGGUCCGCGGGCGCACCCACACGGAGCCGGAGCUGGCCGGCUCGUCCACUAUGCCAGGGCAGAGCCUCUUCUUGGCUUUCCUGGCCUGCACGCUGGCUUCCACCGCCACGGGUCUGAGCUGUACGUCUCCGGCCCGAGUGGAGCCGGCCCGCUCGUCGUGGGAUUUCGGGACUCCUUGGGGACCCAGAUUCUUCCAGAGCCUGGUUCCGAGCGAAAAGAUCCACGAGACAACGCCCGCUACUCUCUCCUUGCCCGAGACCAGCGCCGCCCCUUCUCUAAUAAUCUCGAGUCCGACCCAGGAAGGGUAUUUGAAUUUUCAGCAGUCGGACUACGGGAGUAGCCUCCAGUUCCCAUUCAGAAUCCCCGCCCUCCGGGAGGAGGUAGACAUCGACGACUUCCUCGCCCAGCGGGAUCACUCGUAUGUGCAGCGCCACCCGUCGCUGGCCGGGCGUUCUUCGGACGAGGCGUCGCAUUCAGCGUGGCCGCAGCCCUCGAUGCUCGAGCUGGCCCGAAGCUCGCUGGAAAGGUGCUUCCAGCCUGCUUAUAUCUUAGAGGAUUUUUUCGACGAAAGCGAGAAUGAAGCGGCUGCUCUUCCAAGGCGAGAGGGGGAGAUCUCCCUAGUUAGAGAGAGGAAUGACACGGAAGGGAAAAGUUCCUCUACUGGAAUCCAACCCCCUGAACAACAUUUGCAGGUUUCUGCAGACCAGAAGGAAGACAAUGCGAAUUUGGGAGAAGUAACUUCAAAAGUCUGA